This 254-nucleotide ribosomal RNA is filed under the name uncultured bacterium. RNAcentral's name for it is "partial 16S ribosomal RNA". It matches the Rfam family "Bacterial small subunit ribosomal RNA", at positions 524 to 777 of the family's 1533-position model. The record is from RNAcentral.
UACGGAGGAGGCAAGCGUUAUCCGGAAUUAUUGGGCGUAAAGCGUCCGCAGGUGGCACCUCAAGUCUGCUGUCAAAGACCGGGGCUUAACCCCAGAAAGGCAGUGGAAACUGAAGUGCUAGAGUGCAGUAGGGGUAGAGGGAAUUCCCGGUGUAGCGGUGAAAUGCGUAGAGAUCGGGAAGAACAUCGGUGGCGAAAGCGCUCUGCUGGACUGCAACUGACACUCAGGGACGAAAGCUAGGGGAGCGAAUGGGA